AGAGUUUGAUCAUGGCUCAGGACGAACGCUGGCGGCGUGCCUAAUACAUGCAAGUCGAGCGCGUGAACCUUCCUUCGGGAAGGGGAUCGAGCGGCGAACGGGUGAGUAACACGUGGGCAACCUGCCCGCAAGACUGGGAUAACUACGGGAAACCGGAGCUAAUACCAGAUAGUCGUUACCUCAUACGAGGUAAUGGGAAAGAUGGCUUCGGCUAUCACUUGCGGAUGGGCCCGCGGCGCAUUAGCUAGUUGGUAUGGGUAAUGGCCUACCAAGGCGACGAUGCGUAGCCGACCUGAGAGGGUGACCGGCCACACUGGGACUGAGACACGGCCCAGACUCCUACGGGAGGCAGCAGUAGGGAAUUUUCCGCAAUGGGCGCAAGCCUGACGGAGCAACGCCGCGUGAGUGAGGACGGCCUUCGGGUUGUAAAACUCUGUUCUUUCGGAAGAAUGUCAUCCAUUCAAAUAGGGUGGAUGAACCGACGGUACGGAAGCAGAAAGCCCCGGCUAACUACGUGCCAGCAGCCGUGGUAAUACGUAGGGGGCAAGCGUUGUCCGGAUUUAUUGGGCGUAAAGGGCGCGCAGGCGGCCUCUUAAGUCAGUUGUGAAAGGUCUCGGCUCAACCGAGGAAUGGCAUCUGAAACUGGGAGGCUUGAGUACAGGAGAGGAGAGUGGAAUUCUCGGUGUAGCGGUGGAAUGCGUAGAGAUCGGGAGGAACACCAGUGGCGAAGGCGACUCUCUGGCCUGUUACUGACGCUGAGGCGCGAAAGCAUGGGGAGCGAACAGGAUUAGAUACCCUGGUAGUCCAUGCCGUAAACGUUGAGUGCUAGGUGUUGGGGGCAUUACGUCCUCAGUGCCGAAGGAAACCCAGUAAGCACUCCGCCUGGGGAGUACGGCCGCAAGGCUGAAACUCAAAGGAAUUGACGGGGGCCCGCACAAGCGGUGGAGCAUGUGGUUUAAUUCGAUGCAACGCGAAGAACCUUACCAAGGCUUGACAUCCCUCUGAUCGGUCUAGAGAUAGGCCUUUCCCUUCGGGGACAGAGGUGACAGGUGGUGCAUGGUUGUCGUCAGCUCGUGUCGUGAGAUGUUGGGUUCAGUCCCGCAACGAGCGCAACCCUUAUCUUUAGUUGCCAGCAGGUGAAGCUGGGCACUCUAGAGAGACAGCCGAUGAAAGUCGGAGGAAGGUGGGGAUGACGUCAAAUCAUCAUGCCCCUUAUGUCUUGGGCUACACACGUGCUACAAUGGCUGGCACAACGGGAUGCAAGACCGCGAGGUUUAGCUAAUCCCUAAAAACCAGUCUCAGUUCGGAUCGUAGGCUGCAACUCGCCUACGUGAAGCUGGAAUCGCUAGUAAUCGCGGAUCAGCAUGCCGCGGUGAAUACGUUCCCGGGCCUUGUACACACCGCCCGUCACACCACGAGAGUUUGCAACACCCGAAGUCGGUGAGGGAACUUUUGACCCAGCUGCCGAAGGUGGGGCAAAUGAUUGGGGUGAAGUCGUAACAAGGUAGCCGUA
Molecule: ribosomal RNA, 1513 nt
Filed under: uncultured Caryophanales bacterium
Lineage: Bacteria; Bacillati; Bacillota; Bacilli; Caryophanales
Description: bacterial SSU rRNA
Rfam family: Bacterial small subunit ribosomal RNA
Source: RNAcentral